RNAcentral lists this ribosomal RNA (253 nucleotides) under uncultured bacterium. RNAcentral's name for it is "partial 16S ribosomal RNA". It matches the Rfam family "Bacterial small subunit ribosomal RNA", at positions 524 to 776 of the family's 1533-position model. The record is from RNAcentral.
UACGCAGGGGGCUAGCGUUGCUCGGAAUCACUGGGCGUAAAGGGUGCGUAGGCGGGUCUUUAAGUCAGGUGUGAAAUCCUGGAGCUCAACUCCAGAACUGCCUUUGAUACUGAGGAUCUUGAGUUCGGGAGAGGUGAGUGGAACUGCGAGUGUAGAGGUGAAAUUCGUAGAUAUUCGCAAGAACACCAGUGGCGAAGGCGGCUCACUGGCCCGAUACUGACGCUGAGGCACGAAAGCGUGGGGAGCAAACAGG